Molecule: ribosomal RNA, 592 nt
Filed under: Acinetobacter baumannii
Lineage: Bacteria; Pseudomonadati; Pseudomonadota; Gammaproteobacteria; Moraxellales; Moraxellaceae
Description: partial 23S ribosomal RNA
Rfam family: Bacterial large subunit ribosomal RNA
Source: RNAcentral
CGUAGAGAAAUCGAGUCUUAAUAGGGCGUUUAGUUGCUGGGUAUAGACCCGAAACCAGGCGAUCUAUCCAUGAGCAGGUUGAAGGUUGGGUAACACUAACUGGAGGACCGAACCCACUGUCGUUGAAAAGCCAGGGGAUGACUUGUGGAUAGGGGUGAAAGGCUAAUCAAGCCUGGUGAUAGCUGGUUCUCCCCGAAAGCUAUUUAGGUAGCGCCUCGGACGAAUACCAUAGGGGGUAGAGCACUGUUUCGGCUAGGGGGUCAUCCCGACUUACCAAACCGAUGCAAACUCCGAAUACCUAUGAGUACUAUCCGGGAGACAGACUGCGGGUGCUAACGUCCGUAGUCAAGAGGAAAACAAUCCAGACCGCCAGCUAAGGCCCCAAAAUCAUAGUUAAGUGGGAAACGAUGUGGGAAGGCAUAGACAGCUAGGAGGUUGGCUUAGAAGCAGCCACCCUUUAAAGAAAGCGUAAUAGCUCACUAGUCGAGUCGGCCUGCGCGGAAGAUGUAACGGGGCUAAAACUAUGUGCCGAAGCUGCGGAUGUAUACUUUGUAUACGUGGUAGGGGAGCGUUCUGUAAGCCGAUGAAGGUG